RNAcentral lists this ribosomal RNA (467 nucleotides) under uncultured bacterium. RNAcentral describes it as "partial 16S ribosomal RNA". It matches the Rfam family "Bacterial small subunit ribosomal RNA", at positions 28 to 506 of the family's 1533-position model. The record is from RNAcentral.
GACGAACGCUGGCGGCGUGCUUAACACAUGCAAGUCGAACGGAAAGGCCCUGCUUUUGUGGGGUGCUCGAGUGGCGAACGGGUGAGUAACACGUGAGUAACCUGCCCUUGACUUUGGGAUAACUUCAGGAAACUGGGGCUAAUACCGGAUAGGAGCUCCUGCUGCAUGGUGGGGGUUGGAAAGUUUCGGCGGUUGGGGAUGGACUCGCGGCUUAUCAGCUUGUUGGUGGGGUAGUGGCUUACCAAGGCUUUGACGGGUAGCCGGCCUGAGAGGGUGACCGGCAACAUUGGGACGGAGAUACGGCCCAGACUCCUACGGGAGGCAGCAGUGGGGAAUAUUGCACAAUGGGCGGAAGCCUGAUGCAGCAACGCCGCGUGCGGGAUGACGGCCUUCGGGUUGUAAACCGCUUUCGCCUGUGACGAAGCGUGAGUGACGGUAAUGGGUAAAGAAGCACCGGCUAACUACGU